Molecule: ribosomal RNA, 524 nt
Filed under: uncultured Bacteroidota bacterium
Lineage: Bacteria; Pseudomonadati; Bacteroidota
Description: bacterial SSU rRNA
Rfam family: Bacterial small subunit ribosomal RNA
Source: RNAcentral
CAGAUCUAGCUUGCUAGAUGCUGACGAGUGGCGCACGGGUGCGUAACGCGUAUACAAUCUACCUUUAACUGAGGGAUAGCCCAGAGAAAUUUGGAUUAAUACCUCAUAGUAUUAUAAUUAGGCAUCUUUUUAUAAUUAAAACUUCGGUGGUUAAAGAUGAGUAUGCGUACUAUUAGCUAGUUGGUAAGGUAAAAGCUUACCAAGGCAACGAUAGAUAGGGGCCCUGAGAGGGGGAUCCCCCACACUGGCACUGAGACACGGACCAGACUCCUACGGGAGGCAGCAGUGAGGAAUAUUGGACAAUGGAGGCAACUCUGAUCCAGCCAUGCCGCGUGCAGGAAGACUGCCCUAUGGGUUGUAAACUGCUUUUAUACAGGAAGAAACACCUCUACGUGUAGAGGCUUGACGGUACUGUAAGAAUAAGGAUCGGCUAACUCCGUGCCAGCAGCCGCGGUAAUACGGAGGAUCCAAGCGUUAUCCGGAAUCAUUGGGUUUAAAGGGUCCGUAGGUGGAUAAUUAAGUCA